GACGAACGCUGGCGGCGUGCUUAACACAUGCAAGUCGAACGGAAAGGCCCUGCUUUUGUGGGGUGCUCGAGUGGCGAACGGGUGAGUAACACGUGAGUAACCUGCCCUUGACUUUGGGAUAACUUCAGGAAACUGGGGCUAAUACCGGAUAGGAGCUCCUGCUGCAUGGUGGGGGUUGGAAAGUUUCGGCGGUUUUGGAUGGACUCGCGGCUUAUCAGCUUGUUGGUGGGGUAGUGGCUUACCAAGGCUUUGACGGGUAGCCGGCCUGAGAGGGUGACCGGCAAAAUGGGGCUGAGAUACGGGCCCGGCUCCUGAGGGGGGGCAGAGGUGGGAAAAAUGCCCCAAGGGCGGAAAGCCUAAGGCAGAACGGCGCGUGGGGGGAGGAGGCCCUCGGGUUUUUAAACCGUUUUGGCUGUGACGGAGGGGGGAUGGCCGUAAUGGGUAAAGAAGCACCGGCUAACUACGUG
Molecule: ribosomal RNA, 467 nt
Filed under: uncultured bacterium
Lineage: Bacteria
Description: partial 16S ribosomal RNA
Rfam family: Bacterial small subunit ribosomal RNA
Source: RNAcentral